RNAcentral lists this ribosomal RNA (320 nucleotides) under uncultured Prevotella sp. RNAcentral describes it as "partial 16S ribosomal RNA". Lineage: Bacteria; Pseudomonadati; Bacteroidota; Bacteroidia; Bacteroidales; Prevotellaceae. The record is from RNAcentral.
GGAGUCUGGUCCGUGUCUCAGUACCAGUGUGGGGGACCUUCCUCUCAGAACCCCUAAGGAUCGUCGGCUCGGUGGGCCGUUACCCCGCCGACUGCCUAAUCCUACGCAUCCCCAUCCCUUAGCGAUAAAUCUUUGGUAUUCGUCAGAUGUCCUCAAAAUACAACAUAGAGUAUUAAUCCGACUUUCGCCGGGCUAUCCUCUACUAAGGGGAAGGUUGGAUACGCGUUACUCACCCGUGCGCCGGUCGCCAGCGACAAUAGCAAGCUAUCGUCCUGCUGCCCCUCGACUUGCAUGUGUUAAGCCUGUAGCUAGCGUUCAUC